UUGAACGCUGGCGGCAUGCCUUACACAUGCAAGUCGAACGGCAGCACGGGGGCAACCCUGGUGGCGAGUGGCGAACGGGUGAGUAAUACAUCGGAACGUAUCCUGUAGCGGGGGAGUAACCUCUCGAAAGAGAGGCUAAUACCGCAUACGACCUACGGGUGAAAGAGGGGGAGUCNCAAGACCUCUCACUAUUGGAGCGGCCGAUGUCGGAUUAGCUAGUUGGCGGGGUAACGGCCCACCAAGGCUACGAUCCGUAGCUGGUCUGAGAGGACGACCAGCCACACUGGAACUGAGACACGGUCCAGACUCCUA
This 312-nucleotide ribosomal RNA is filed under the name uncultured bacterium. RNAcentral's name for it is "bacterial SSU rRNA". It matches the Rfam family "Bacterial small subunit ribosomal RNA", at positions 30 to 341 of the family's 1533-position model. The record is from RNAcentral.